AUGUCCACAACAGUAGAUGAAGACUCUCCAAGUUCAGUGGGACGAAGCACGGUGGCUGGGUCCCCUGAGCGGACUCUGGGAAGAGCACCAACGCCGGUGAAACUCCGGCGAGUCCUAGAUCUCUACCCUAAGGAGGCCCUUCGGAAGAUCAAUCCUGUGAGGAUGAAAAAGGUCAGAAGGGAGUGUCUACUCAUCACAGAAGAACCAGCCACGUUCGAGGAGGCGAACGAAGAAGAAUCAUGGCGUAAAGCUAUGGAUGACGAGCUUGGUUCAAUCCAGGAUAAUGACACAUGGAGUCUUGUUAAUCUUCCUGAUGGGCACAAAGCAAUAGGUCUCAAGUGGGUCUUCAAAGUUAAAAAGGACUCACAGGGUGCCGUGGUGAAGCAUAAGGCUCAUUUGGUAGCCAAAGGAUAUGUCCAGCAGCAGGGUGUAGAUUUUGAAGAAGUAUUUGCUCCAGUUGCACGAAUGGAAUCAGUACGGUUGUUGAUUGCUCUAGCAGCCCAAGAAGCUUGGUUUUUACACCAUAUGGAUGUGAAGUCUGCGUUUCUGAAUGGAGUACUAGAGGAAGAAGUGUACGUGAAGCAGCCCACUGGUUUUAUCAAGAAGGGAGAAGAGCAUAAAGUAUUCAAAUUGCACAAAGCUUUGUAUGGCUUGCAGCAGGCACCUAGGGCAUGGAAUACCAAACUUGAUAGUACCUUGAUUUCACUCGGUUUUGUGAAGUGUCCGCUUGAGCACGCUAUGUACAAGAGAGGCACCGGUUCAGAUUGUCUCCUUAUUGGCGUGUAUGUAGAUGAUCUCUUGAUCACAGGAGCUGAUGAAAGGGAAAUUGGAAGGUUCAAGAAGCAAAUGAAGCAAUUAUUUAAAAUGAGUGAUCUGGGCUUGUUAAGCUAUUACCUCGGGAUCGAGGUGCGUCAAAGUAAAGACGGGAUCACGUUGUGCCAGGAGGCAUAUGCCUUGAAGAUCUUGCAGAAUUGUGGCAUGGAGGAUUGUAAUCCUUCGCAAACGCCUAUGGAGGCGAGGCUGAAGUUGAGCAAGAGGAGCAAGGCGCCGACUGUUGAUUCAACCGAGUACCGAAGUAUUGUCGGAAGUUUACGAUAUCUUGUGAACACUAGGCCAGAUUUGGCAUACUCGGUUGGCAUAGUAAGCAGGUACAUGGAGAACCCUACCACUGAGCAUUUGACUGUUGUGAAACAGAUUUUGAGAUAUGUGAAAGGGACUCUGAAGUAUGGCUGCAAGUACACAAGGAAGAAGGAGGACAAAUCACUUCUAGUGGGCUAUAGCGAUAGUGACUUGGCAGGGGAUGUAGAUGACCGAAAGAGUACAUCGGGUGUUGCAUACUUUCUGGGAGAAAAUCUGAUCACUUGGUUAUCGCAGAAGCAAAAGGUGGUUGCCCUCUCAUCUUGUGAAGCCGAAUACAUUGCAGCGGCGACAGCGGCGUGUCAAGGAGUGUGGCUCAGUAGACUCCUUGCUGAUUUGACGAACCAGCAGCCAGAACAAGUAAAGCUUAGAGUUGAUAACAAAUCCACAAUAUCAUUGUGCAAAAACCCCGUUCAUCAUGAUCGCAGCAAGCACAUUGAUAUAAGGUAUCAUUACAUCAGAGAAUGUGUAGAAGAAGGCAAGGUGGAGGUGGAUUAUGUCAGCACUAAAGAUCAACUCGCAGAUAUACUAACGAAGUCGUUAGGAAGACUGAAGUUUCAGGAGAUGCGCGAGAAGAUUGGAGUCGUGGCUGUUAAGUAG
Molecule: ribosomal RNA, 1737 nt
Filed under: Triticum aestivum (bread wheat)
Lineage: Eukaryota; Viridiplantae; Streptophyta; Magnoliopsida; Poales; Poaceae
Description: partial small subunit ribosomal RNA
Source: RNAcentral